Molecule: long non-coding RNA, 919 nt
Organism: Xiphias gladius (swordfish)
Lineage: Eukaryota; Metazoa; Chordata; Actinopteri; Istiophoriformes; Xiphiidae
Exons: 4
Source: RefSeq, a predicted model, not a curated record
AGCGAGCUGAGUGCUGAUUCUUUCCCGGUGAUGGUCGAACUCUGGACUGAAGUAGAGGCAGGAUGAAAGAGAGAGAGGAAGAUACUGGACACGGGCGUGUCUGCGGGGACUGUUCGUAUAUUGCUGAGGAGAGAGAGAGACAAACAUCGUCGCCAUCAAUAUCACGGCCAUUUACAUUUACAUCAUCUUUACUUUUUUCCUGGAGAGAGGUUUUCGCAAGCCGUUUAUUGUUUAAUGGACCCAUCUCCACAGCUCUUUUCAUCUUCCUCAGUCGUUCCCACUCCUCCUCUACAUCCCUCUCUCUUUGCGUUCUCUCAGCACUCACACAAUGAUGACUGGAGCAAAGAGGUUUGAUCUCAGCCCGACCUUCUGCUUCGACAGUCUCUGCAGGGACCUGACAUUAAAAGCGGCAGGUUGUCUCAUUACAGGAAAACAUGUGAACACGAAUCCAAACAUACACUCGCACACACGGAAUCCAUACUGUAUUUUUUGACCUUUGAAGACCAAUAAUUGCCAAAGCAUCAGGCCCUUACAGCUGUGACAGGUUGCUCCGCUGUAGCUGGUGCUGGAGCAGUUGCAGUGAAAGGUGCUCCACGACUGACUGCAGCUGCCUCCGUGUUCACAACGAUUGGGAGAACACCUGAGAGAAAGAGACAGAACGGAGAGCCUACAUUUAGCCUUUGUCGCAAUACUGCCCUUGUUGUAGAGCAAACCCUAACUUUUGCAGAGUUACACUGCGUUGUGGUAAAAUAACUCCAGAACAGAAGGGACACUCAUGACUUAAACACAUCCUCAGAAGCUGAGAGAAGAACAGAAACAAUGUGUGACAACUGACAAGGGCAGUGUGGAUGGCUAUAUUUUUGAGUUUUCUAGUUUAAUUCUACCAUGUCCAAAUACUUAUGUACCUAACUGUAUAUGA